UACCUACGGGGGGCAGCAGUGGGGAAUAUUGGGCAAUGGGCGCAAGCCCGACCCAGCAACGCCGCGUGAAGGAAGAAGGCUUUCGGGUUGUAAACUUCUUUUCUCAGGGACGAAGAAAGUGACGGUACCUGAGGAAUAAGCCACGGCUAACUACGUGCCAGCAGCCGCGGUAAUACGUAGGUGGCAAGCGUUAUCCGGAUUUACUGGGCGUAAAGGGCGUGUAGGCGGGAAAGCAAGUCAGAUGUGAAAACCACAGGCUCAACCUGUGGCCUGCAUUUGAAACUGUUUUUCUU
This 293-nucleotide ribosomal RNA is filed under the name uncultured bacterium. RNAcentral's name for it is "partial 16S ribosomal RNA". It matches the Rfam family "Bacterial small subunit ribosomal RNA", at positions 335 to 643 of the family's 1533-position model. The record is from RNAcentral.